This 404-nucleotide ribosomal RNA is filed under the name uncultured bacterium. Its description in RNAcentral is "partial 16S ribosomal RNA". It matches the Rfam family "Bacterial small subunit ribosomal RNA", at positions 30 to 526 of the family's 1533-position model. The record is from RNAcentral.
AUUGAACGCUGGCGGCAGGCCUAACACAUGCAAGUCGAGCGAGCGGCGGACGGGUGAGGAAUGCCUGGGAAUUCCCCAGUCGAGGGGGAUAACAGAUGGAAACGACUGCUAAUACCGCAUACGACUGGAUUUCACAGGGGGGGUUAUCUAGUUGGUGAGGUAAUUGCUCAACAAGGCGACGAUCCCUAGCUGGUCUGAGAGGUUGAUCAGCCACACUGGAACUGAGAAAGGGUCCCGACUCCUACGGGAGGCAGCAGUGGGGAAUAUUGCACAAUGGGUGAAAUUCUGAUGCAGCCAAGCCGCGUGAGUGAAGAAGGCCUUCGGGUUGUAAAGCACUGUCCGCGAAGAGGCGUUACUCGCAGAAGAAGAACCGGCUAACUCCGUGCCAGCAGCCGCGGUAAUAC